This 89-nucleotide transfer RNA is filed under the name Alistipes communis. RNAcentral describes it as "tRNA-Ile". It matches the Rfam family "tRNA". From Rfam's summary of the family: Transfer RNA (tRNA) molecules are approximately 80 nucleotides in length. Their secondary structure includes four short double-helical elements and three loops (D, anti-codon, and T loops). Further hydrogen bonds mediate the characteristic L-shaped molecular structure. tRNAs have two regions of fundamental functional importance: the anti-codon, which is responsible for specific mRNA codon recognition, and the 3' end, to which the tRNAs corresponding amino acid is attached (by aminoacyl-tRNA synthetases). tRNAs cope with the degeneracy of the genetic code in two manners: having more than one tRNA (with a specific anti-codon) for a particular amino acid; and 'wobble' base-pairing, i.e. permitting non-standard base-pairing at the 3rd anti-codon position. The record is from RNAcentral. Lineage: Bacteria; Pseudomonadati; Bacteroidota; Bacteroidia; Bacteroidales; Rikenellaceae.
UCCCGUGUAGCUCAAUGGACAGAGCAUCGAGAAAUGGCCGAACCCGGUCAAGUAUCGAAGGUUGUCGGUUCGAAUCCGGCCACGGGAGC